This 301-nucleotide ribosomal RNA is filed under the name uncultured bacterium. RNAcentral describes it as "partial 16S ribosomal RNA". It matches the Rfam family "Bacterial small subunit ribosomal RNA", at positions 509 to 807 of the family's 1533-position model. The record is from RNAcentral.
CAGUAGCCACGGUAAUACGAAGGGUGCAAGCGUUACUCGGAAUUACUGGGCGUAAAGCGUGCGUAGGUGGUUCGUUAAGUCUGAUGUGAAAGCCCUGGGCUCAACCUGGGAAUUGCAUUGGAUACUGGCGAGCUAGAGUGCGGUAGAGGGUAGUGGAAUUCCCGGUGUAGCAGUGAAAUGCGUAGAGACCGGGAGGAACAUCUGUGGCGAAGGCGACUGCCUGGACCAGCACUGACACUGAGGCACGAAAGCGUAGGGAGCAAACAGGAUUAGAUACCCCGGUAGUCCCUGUCUCUUAUAC